This 372-nucleotide long non-coding RNA is filed under the name Elaeis guineensis (African oil palm). Its description in RNAcentral is "long non-coding RNA (EGUI_LNC057603)". The record is from RNAcentral. Lineage: Eukaryota; Viridiplantae; Streptophyta; Magnoliopsida; Arecales; Arecaceae.
GGUACCAUUGCUAGAUGGUCACUCCGAUUGGUAUAAAAAUUUAUUUCUGUGCUACGGACUUAGGUUCAGACCUAUGAGGUUAUACACAUUAGAGUUCAUGAUCCGAUCGGAUGGUUGAUCAACGAUUAAGAAUCAUUCUAGGGUUAAAUGAUCAAUACGAUGGACAUUUAAUCGAGUGCAAGUGUUGCAGGAGGAUCGAUUAGGAAUUUGACUGCUAAUUGACUUAAUUUGAUUAAGCCAAAGGGCUUAGAUUAAGUCUAAUUAAAUAUGAUUUAAUUAUAUUUGGUUUGUUCUUGAUUGGAUCAAGUCCAAUUGAUUUAUUGGAUAAGCCAAGUGCAAGAAAAAAACUAGUCCUAGUUCAAAUAAGACUUG